Molecule: ribosomal RNA, 1513 nt
Filed under: metagenome
Description: bacterial SSU rRNA
Rfam family: Bacterial small subunit ribosomal RNA
Source: RNAcentral
AGAGUUUGAUCCUGGCUCAGGACGAACGCUGGCGGCGUGGAUUAGGCAUGCAAGUCGAACGAGAAAGUUUUGCUUCGGCAAAGCGAGUAAAGUGGCGAACGGGUGAGUAACGCGUAGGUAAUUUACCUUUAAGUGGGGGACAGCCUCGGGAAACCGGGAUUAAUACCGCAUGUGUCCGGCAUCAGUCGGUUAAAGCCGGCCUCUGCUACAAGCUGGUGCUUAGAGAUAAGCCUGCGUCCUAUUAGUUAGUUGGUGGGGUAAGAGCCUACCAAGGCGAUGAUAGGUAGGCGGCCUUAACGGGUGGUCGCCCACACUGGGAUUGAGAUACGGCCCAGACUCCUACGGGGGGCAGCAGUCGAGAAUAGUCUACAAUGGGGGAAACCCUGAUAGUGCGACGCCGCGUGAACGAUGAAGCAUUUCGGUGCGUAAAGUUCUUUUCUGUGUGAGCAAGAGACAGAUGUUUAAGAGAUAUUUGUAAGAGAUAUUAACACAGGAAUAAGCCACGGCUAACUCCGUGCCAGCAGCCGCGGUAAUACGGGGGUGGCAAGCGUUGUCCGGAAUCACUAGGCGUAAAGGGCAAGUAGGCGGAAUAAUAAGUCAGAUGUUAAAGGCAUUGGCUCAACUAAUGUAGGGCAUUUGAUACUGUUAUUCUAGAGUAAGGUAGAGGAAGACGGAAUUCCUGGUGUAGCGGUGGAAUGCGCAGAUAUCAGGAAGAACACCGAUAGCGAAGGCAGUCUUCUGGGCCAUUACUGACGCUAAAUUGCGAAGGUGUGGGUAUCAAACAGGAUUAGAUACCCUGGUAGUCCACACAGUAAACGAUAAACACUAGAUGUUGGGGGAGAUGAUCCUUCAGUGUCGGAGCUAACGCAUUAAGUGUUUCGCCUGGGGAGUACGAUCGCAAGGUUUAAACUCAAAGGAAUUGACGGGGGCCCGCACAGGCGGUGGAGCAUGUGGUUUAAUUCGAUGCAACGCGAAGAACCUUACCUGGGCUUGACAUCCUGAGAAUUUUUCAGAGAUGAGAAAGUGCCUCUUUUGAGGAACUCAGAGACAGGUGCUGCAUGGCUGUCGUCAGCUCGUGUCGUGAGAUGUUGGGUUAAGUCCCGCAACGAGCGCAACCCCUAUCGUUAGUUACCAUCAAGUAAAGUUGGGGACUCUAGCGAGACUGCCAGAGUAACAAUCUGGAGGAAGCGGGGACGACGUCAAGUCAUCAUGGUCCUUAUGUCCAGGGCUACACACGUGCUACAAUGGUCAGUACAGAGGGAAGCUAAGCAGUGAUGUGGAGCAAAUCCCAGAAAGCUGAUCUCAGUUCGGAUUGGAGUCUGCAACUCGACUCCAUGAAGUUGGAAUCGCUAGUAAUCGCGUGUCAGCAUAACGCGGUGAAUACGUUCCCGGGCCUUGUACACACCGCCCGUCAAGUCAGCCUAGUUGAUUGCACCCGAAGUAGGUGAGCUAACCGCAAGGAUGCAGCUUACGAAGGUGUGGUUAGCAAGGGGGACUAAGUCGUAACAAGGUA